GAGCUCUGAUUUGCUUAUUGCACCACAUGUGUUUUUCUUUGAAACAAACUUGCUUUGGCGGUGGGCCCAGCCUGCCGCCAGAGGUCUAAACUUACAACCAAUUUUUUAUCAACUUGUCACACCAGAUUAUUACUAAUAGUCAAAACUUUCAACAACGGAUCUCUUGGUUCUCGCAUCGAUGAAGAACGCAGCGAAAUGCGAUACGUAAUAUGAAUUGCAGAUAUUCGUGAAUCAUCGAAUCUUUGAACGCACAUUGCGCCCUCUGGUAUUCCGGAGGGCAUGCCUGUUUGAGCGUCGUUUCUCCCUCAAACCGCUGGGUUUGGUGUUGAGCAAUACGACUUGGGUUUGCUUGAAAGACGGUAGUGGUAAGGCGGGAUCGCUUUGACAAUGGCUUAGGUCUAACCAAAAACAUUGUUUGCGGCGGUAACGUCCACCACGUAUAUCUUCAAACUUUGACCUCAAAUCAGGUAGGACUACCCGCUGAACUUAAGCAUAUCAAUAAGCCGGAGGAA
RNAcentral lists this ribosomal RNA (512 nucleotides) under Candida albicans. RNAcentral describes it as "eukaryotic LSU rRNA". The stretch from base 144 to 297 matches the Rfam family "5.8S ribosomal RNA". Lineage: Eukaryota; Fungi; Ascomycota; Pichiomycetes; Serinales; Debaryomycetaceae. The record is from RNAcentral.